UGGGGAAUAUUGGACAAUGGGCGCAAGCCUGAUCCAGCCAUGCCGCGUGAGUGAUGAAGGCCCUAGGGUUGUAAAGCUCUUUCACCGGUGAAGAUAAUGACGGUAACCGGAGAAGAAGCCCCGGCUAACUUCGUGCCAGCAGCCGCGGUAAUACGAAGGGGGCUAGCGUUGUUCGGAUUUACUGGGCGUAACGCGCACGUAGGCGGACUUUUAAGUCAGGGGUGAAAUCCCGGGGCUCAACCCCGGAACUGCCUUUGAUACUGGAAGUCUUGAGUAUGGUAGAGGUGAGUGGAAUUCCGAGUGUAGGGGUGAAAUUCGUAGAUAUUCGGAGGAACACCAGUGGCGAAGGCGGCUCACUGGACCAUUACUGACGCUGAGGUGCGAAAGCGGGGGGAGCAAACAGG
RNAcentral lists this ribosomal RNA (404 nucleotides) under Actinomycetes bacterium. RNAcentral describes it as "Actinobacteria bacterium partial 16S ribosomal RNA". It matches the Rfam family "Bacterial small subunit ribosomal RNA", at positions 355 to 776 of the family's 1533-position model. The record is from RNAcentral. Lineage: Bacteria; Bacillati; Actinomycetota; Actinomycetes.